CGUAGUGCUACGUAGAUUUUGACUAUUGAACGUGUAGUUAUAGACUAGUUGUUACAUAUAUAUUGAAAGCAGCUACGUAGCCGCUACGUAGCUGAUACGAUAUUGAACUCAACCCAGGAUUUGUUUUCUGUCAAUCGAUUUAUGACUUUUUAACAGCAGUAUACUAUACGGUUGCCUUUAUUUAUAUCAUCUGCGUCACCGGAUUACGUUUACAUAUAUCAAUUGAAACAUUACGUGAAUCCAUAUUCAUUAUCUGGACUAAAAAAAAGACUGACUUUAUCAAAAUAAAAACUUUACCAGUAGUGUUAUAGAGCCCUAGAAGUAUAUUCUAAGUGGUAUCGACGCUACUCAGGUUUAACGGUCAAUAACACCAAUUAUUUUACAGAUUCAAUGUGUUUGAUUGAACUCAUGUGGUUUGUGUUCCCGCAGUCUGAGAUUUAAAGAAAGAGGAAGGUUGUCUGAUUUGUGAGUCUAAUUGUUGUUAACAGUUUCCUUUUCAAACAUUCUUUUUGCGUCUGGAUUCCAAUGACAGAUGAUACAUCACAAUGCAUAGCAGGGACGUAAACUAUGUCGACACAGAGGGUCUCGCCACG
Molecule: long non-coding RNA, 593 nt
Filed under: Mytilus galloprovincialis (Mediterranean mussel)
Lineage: Eukaryota; Metazoa; Mollusca; Bivalvia; Mytilida; Mytilidae
Source: RNAcentral